GACGAACGCUGGCGGCGUGCUUAACACAUGCAAGUCGAACGGAAAGGCCCUGCUUUUGUGGGGUGCUCGAGUGGCGAACGGGUGAGUAACACGUGAGUAACCUGCCCCUGACUUUGGGAUAACUUCAGGAAACUGGGGCUAAUACCGGAUAGGAGCUCCUGCUGCAUGGUGGGGGUUGGAAAGUUUCGGCGGUUGGGGAUGGACUCGCGGCUUAUCAGCUGGUUGGUGGGGUAGUGGCUUACCAGGGCUUUGACGGGUAGCCGGCCUGGGAGGUGGACCGGCCCCAUUGGAACUGGAAUACGGCCAAAACUCCUACGGGAGGCAGCAGUGGGGAAUAUGGCACAAUGGGCGGAGGCCUGAUGCAGGAACGCCGGGUGCGGGUGAACGGCCUUCGGGUUGUAAACCGCUUUCGCCGGUGCCGAAGCGUGUGUGACGGUAAUUGGUAAAGAAGCACCGGCUAACUACGUG
RNAcentral lists this ribosomal RNA (468 nucleotides) under uncultured bacterium. RNAcentral describes it as "partial 16S ribosomal RNA". It matches the Rfam family "Bacterial small subunit ribosomal RNA", at positions 28 to 507 of the family's 1533-position model. The record is from RNAcentral.